AGAGUUUGAUCCUGGCUCAGGAUGAACGCUAGCGGCAGGCCUAACACAUGCAAGUCGAGGGGCAGCACAGGUAGCAAUACUGGGUGGCGACCGGCGGAUGGGUGCGUAACGCGUAUGCAACCUACCAUUGAUUGGGGCAUAGCCCGAAGAAAUUCGGAUUAAUACUCCAUAAUAUUCAUCAAAGGCAUCUUUUAUGAAUUAAAGCUUUUGCGAUCAAUGAUGGGCAUGCGUGACAUUAGUUAGUUGGUGAGGUAACGGCUCACCAAAACGAUGAUGUCUAGGGGUUCUGAGAGGAUUAUCCCCCACACUGGUACUGAGACACGGACCAGACUCCUACGGGAGGCAGCAGUGAGGAAUAUUGGUCAAUGGACGCAAGUCUGAACCAGCCAUGCCGCGUGCAGGAUGACGGCCCUAUGGGUUGUAAACUGCUUUUCCACGGGAAGAACCCUCCGACGUGUCGGAGACUGACGGUACCGUGGGAAUAAGCAUCGGCUAACUCCGUGCCAGCAGCCGCGGUAAUACGUAGGUGGCGAGCGUUAUCCGGAUUUACUGGGUGUAAAGGGCGCGCAGGCGGCCCUGGAAGUCAGAUGUGAAAGAUCAAGGCUUAACUUUGACAGGUCAUCUGAAACUUUGGGGCUUGAGUAUCAGAGGGGAAAGUGGAAUUCCUAGUGGAGCGGUAAAAUGCACAGAGAUUAGGAGGAACACCGGUGGCGAAGGCGACUUUCUAGCUGACAACUGACGCUGAGGCGCGAAAGCGUGGGGAGCAAACAGGAUUAGAUACCCUGGUAGUCCACGCUGUAAACGAUGAUUACUGGGUGUAGGGAGUAUCGACUCUCUCUGUGCCGGAAGGCAAACGCGAUAAGUAAUCCACCUGGGGAGUACGGCCGCAAGGCUAAAACUCAAAGGAAUUGACGG
Molecule: ribosomal RNA, 915 nt
Filed under: uncultured bacterium
Lineage: Bacteria
Description: bacterial SSU rRNA
Rfam family: Bacterial small subunit ribosomal RNA
Source: RNAcentral